UUGGGACGUGGCCAUGGGGUCAUGGCAAUCAGGACGUGGCCAUGGGAGUGGGGACGUGGCCAUGGGGUGGUGGCAAUCAGGAUGUGGCCGUGGGGCAGAGGGGAUCAGGACGUGGCCAUGGGGUGGUGGCGACUAGGACGUGGCCAUGGGAGUGGGGACAUGGCCGUGGGGUGGUGGCAAUCAGGACAUGGCCAUGGGAGUGGGGACGUGGCCAUGGGAGUGGGGACAUGGCCAUGGGGUGGUGGCAAUCAGGACGUGGCCUUGGGGCAGCAGGGAUCAGGACGUGGCCAUGGGGUGGUGGCCACUGGGACGUGGCCAUGGGAGCUGGGACGUGGCCAUGGGGUGGUGGCAACAGGACAUGGCCAUGGGAGUGGGGACGUGGCCAUGGGGUGGUGGCAAUCAGGACGUGGCCAUGGGGUGGUGGCAACUGGGAUGUGGCCAUGGGAGUUGGGGCAUGGCCAUGGGGUGGUGGCAACUGGGACAUGGCCAUGGGAGUUGGGAUGUGUCCAUGGGGUGGUGGCCACUGGGAUGUGGCCAUGGGAGUUGGGACGUGGCCAUGGGGUGGUGGCCACUGGGUCGUGGCCAUGGGAGUGGGGACAUGGCCAUGGGGUGGUGGCAAUCAGGACGUGGCCGUGGGGUGGUGGCAACUGGGACGUGGCCAUGGGAGUUGGGACGUGGCCAUGGGGUGGUGGCCAUGGAGAGGUGGCAAUGAGGACCUGAUCAUGGGUUGGUGGCCGUGGGUUUGUGGCAGUGGGGCCAUGGCCAUGGGUUGGUGGCAGUGGGUUGGUGGCCAUGGGUGGUGGCAGUGGGGAGGUGGCCAUAGGGAGGUGGCAGUGUGGCCAUGGCCAUGGGGAGGUGGCUGUGGGUUGGUGGCCAUGUGGACAUGGCCAUGGGUGGUGGCCAUGGGUUGGUGGCAGUGGGUUGGUGGCCAUGGGUGGUGGCCAUGGGUUAGUGGCCAUGUGGACAUGGCCAUGGGUGGUGGCCAUGGGUGGAGGCAGUGGGGAGGUGGCCAUGGGUUGGUGGCCACAGGUUGGUGGCCACGUAGACAUGGCCAUGGGUGGUGGCCAUGGGUGAUGCCAGCGCUGUGUCCCCCCCCGCCGUGUCCCAGGCGUGUGCUCGGAGUUCCUGGUGAAGACGGCCAACGCGGGGGCGGGGGCACUGGCCGUCACCAUCGAUGGCCCCUCCAAGGUGAAGCUGGACUGCGUGGAGUGCCCCGAGGGCCACCGUGUCACCUACACCCCCAUGGCCCCCGGCAACUACCUCAUCUCCAUCAAGUAUGGUGGCCCCCACCACAUCGUGGGGAGCCCCUUCAAGGCCAAGGUCACCGGCCCCCGUCUAUCGGGGGGACACAGCCUGCACGAGACCUCCACGGUGCUGGUGGAGACGGUGACACGGGGGGGGACGGGGGCGACGGGGGCUUCGCGGCCCCCCCCGGCUUUCGGGGGGCUCCCCAAAUUCUCCUCGGACGCGGGGAAGGUGGUGGCCCGAGGACCGGGACUGGCCACCGCCUUCCUGGGCCAGAAGAACCACUUCACCGU
This 1538-nucleotide long non-coding RNA is filed under the name Calidris pygmaea (Spoon-billed sandpiper). RNAcentral describes it as "lncRNA (ENSCPGG00000007519.1)". The record is from RNAcentral. Lineage: Eukaryota; Metazoa; Chordata; Aves; Charadriiformes; Scolopacidae.